CUAUCAUCUAUCUGUCUAUCUAAUUAUCUAUCAUCUAUCUAUCUGUCUAUCUAAUUAUCUAUCUAUCUAUCUAUCAUCUAUGUUUUCUAUUUAUUUAUCUAUCUAAUUAGCUAUCUAUCAUCUCUCUAUCAUUUUUUAUCUGUCUAUCUAUCUAUCUGUCUAUCUAUCUAUCUAUCUAUCUAGAUAUCUAUACAUCACCUAUCUAGUUUCUAUCUAUCUACACAGAACAGAAAGGUAGCAC
Molecule: non-coding RNA, 241 nt
Organism: Pelobates cultripes (western spadefoot toad)
Lineage: Eukaryota; Metazoa; Chordata; Amphibia; Anura; Pelobatidae
Source: the annotation of a GenBank genome assembly